CGGAAUACAAAUAUAUAUCUGUCCUUUACUUUCUCCACGGCCUUUUCUUCUACAGGGGUAUUAAGAUAUCAUCUGUCCAUUACUUUCUCCACGGCUGGCAUGUUAAUCCUCAGUUUAAUUAUAAGUCACGGUGUAUUUGAAAAAGUGGCAUAUUUGUAUUGUGCAUUUUUAAUCAAUUCCCGAACUAGUUAGAGUUGGAUGCGUUAACGGGUUCUCUCUAAUUGCUGUGAAAGUGUAUGUUUGGAUUUCUUCUUCCGCAUUUUCCAUUUAGAGUUAAGUUUUCAAAGUUAAAUCUUUCAUGGAAGCCCCGCAUUCUUGAUCUUGGGUAAUAAUGUUUGACUGGUACGUGUGAUUAUAAGCAGACUGUAUCUCGUGUUUUGAAAUCGUAAUAUUUAAAGAGAUCCUAAUUAAAUAAAGGAGCAACUUUGUGCUUGUAUAUUUGCCGGUCUUGAUGGUUUGACUCAUAAUUUGACACCUUCAGUUUUAAGAGGUUUAUACGUUAAGUGCUUAACAAGGGGUCAUGCAAUUCCAUGAAGGUCAUGCAAUUCCAUGAAAUGGGUUUGAACUAAGGCUUUGUGAUUUAUCUUUUUUGUUCUCUUCUGCUACUCAAUUUCCUACAGUCUAUUGAUUAGUCUUGCUUUUCAUGUCUAUCUACCGUGUAUUGUCAGGUUGCAUUUGCGUGGUUUAAAUAAAUAAUUCCAAGGGGGGUCAUGCAAUGCCAUGAAAUGGGUUUGAGCUAAGCCUACGUAUUUUGUUCAUUAUAUUCUCUUCUGCUUCCCAAUUUCCCACAUGCUUUUCAUUCACUUAUCUACAUUGUGUCUAUUGUCAGGCUGCAUUUGUGUGGUUUAAAUAAAUAAUUCCAAGGGGUUAGGCAAUGCCAUGAAAUGGGUUUGAGCUAAGAUUUUGUUCUUUAUGUUCACUUCUGCUUCUCAAUUUCCCACAUGUUUUUUGUUUGUUUAUAUACUUUUUGUGUAUUGACAGGCUGCAUCUGCGUGGCUACGUGAGUUUGUUCCUUGUGUUCUCUUCUGCUUCUCAAUUUCCCACAUGCUUUUCAUUUGUUUAUCUACAUUGUAUAUUGUCAGGCUGCAUCUGCGUGGCCUAAAUAAAUAAUUCCAGGGGGUCAGGAAAUGCCAGGAAAUGGGUUUUAGCUAAGGUGUUCUUUAUGUUCUCUUCCUGCUUCUCAAUUUCCCUCAAGCUUUUCAUUUGUUUAUCUACAUUGUGUGUAUUGUCAGGUUGCAUCUGUGUGGCCUAAAUAAAUAAUUUCAAGGGGUCAUGCAAUGCCAUGAAAUGGGUUUGAGCUAAGGCGUUCUUUAUGUUCUCUUCUGCUUCUCAAUUUCCCACAUGCGUUUCAUUUGCUUAUCUACAAUGUGUCUAUUGUCAGGCUGAAUUUUCGUGGUUUAAAUAAAUAUUCCAAGGGGUCAGGCAAUGCCAUGAAAUGGGUUUGAGUUAAGGCUACAUGAAUUUGUUCUUUAUGUUCUCUUCUGCUUCUCAAUUUCCCACAUGUUUUCAUUUGCCUAUCUACUUUGUGUGUAUUGUCAGGCUGCAUCUGCGUGGCCUAAAUAAAUAUUUCCAAGUGAUCAUGCAAUGGCAUGAAAUGGGCUGCAUUUUCUUGGUUUAAAUAAAUAAUUCCAAGGGGGCCAGGUAAUGCAAUGAAAUGGGUUUGAGCUAAGACUACUUGAUUUUGUGUUUUUUUUUGUACUCUUCUGCUUCUCAAAUUUUCACAUGCUUUUCAUGUGUUUAUCUACAUUGUGUGUAUUGUCAGGCUGCAUCUGGGUGGCCUAUAUGAAUAAUUUCAAGGGAUCAUGCAAUGCCAUGAAAUGGGUUUGAGCUAAGGCGUUCUUUAUGUUCUCUUCUGCUUCUCAAUUUCCCACAUGGUUUUCAUUUGCCUAUCUACUUUGUGUGUAUUGCCAGGCUGCAUUUUGCGUG
Molecule: long non-coding RNA, 1926 nt
Organism: Juglans microcarpa x Juglans regia
Lineage: Eukaryota; Viridiplantae; Streptophyta; Magnoliopsida; Fagales; Juglandaceae
Exons: 2
Source: RefSeq, a predicted model, not a curated record